Molecule: ribosomal RNA, 627 nt
Filed under: Euscelinus sarawacus
Lineage: Eukaryota; Metazoa; Arthropoda; Insecta; Hymenoptera; Braconidae
Description: eukaryotic LSU rRNA
Rfam family: Eukaryotic large subunit ribosomal RNA
Source: RNAcentral
CCUGAGAAACCCAAAAGGUCGAAUGGGGAGAUUCAUUGUCAGCGCAUUUUGUAUAUGUGUAAGUUGUGAUGCGGGUUACCCUCGGGUAUCGCCUGCACAUGCUUGCAUGUUUUGUAGCAAGAUGUUGUCGGCGUGCACUUCUUCCCUAGUAGAACGUCGCGACCCGUUGGAUGUCGGUCUACGACUCAAGUGGAAGUCUUUAAUGUUUCAAUAACAUUAAAAGCCCUUGAUGUUUUCUGGCCGACUAUCUGUCGGUAUUCGUACGGUAUUUAGCCGCAAAUAAUAUGCGUCCAUAACCGUCACAAGUGAGGCCAGAUAUCAGUAAGUACGGACCUAGUGCCGUCGCUGUAUUUGGUCAGCUGUUGGUUGUACGGUGUUCUAGGACAGGCUAGAAUUAUUACCGGUCGGCGAUGCUACUGCUUUGGGUACUUUCAGGACCCGUCUUGAAACACGGACCAAGGAGUCUAACAUGUGCGCAAGUCAUUGGGAUUCUUUUAAAUAUAAACCUAAAGGCGUAAUGAAAGUAAAGAUCGGCCUUGCGUCGAUUGAGGGAGGAUGAGUUGCAUUAAGAUUCAGCUCCGCACUCCCAGGGCGUCUCAUUCUCAUUAUGAGAAGAGGCGCACCUAG